RNAcentral lists this ribosomal RNA (495 nucleotides) under uncultured bacterium. RNAcentral's name for it is "partial 16S ribosomal RNA". It matches the Rfam family "Bacterial small subunit ribosomal RNA", at positions 28 to 507 of the family's 1533-position model. The record is from RNAcentral.
GACGAACGCUGGCGGCGUGCCUAAUACAUGCAAGUAGAACGCUGAAGGAGGAGCUCGCUUCUCUGGAUGAGUUGCGAACGGGUGAGUAACGCGUAGGUAACCUGCCUGGUAGCGGGGGAUAACUAUUGGAAACGAUAGCUAAUACCGCAUAAUAUUGACUAUUGCAUGAUAGUCAGUUGAAAGGUGCAACUGCACCACUACCAGAUGGACCUGCGUUGUAUUAGCUAGUUGGUGGGGUAACGGCUCACCAAGGCGACGAUACAUAGCCGACCUGAGAGGGUGAUCGGCCACACUGGGACUGAGACACAGCCCAGACUCCUACGGGAGGCAGCAGUAGGGAAUCUUCGGCAAUGGACGGAAGUCUGACCGAGCAACGCCGCGUGAGUGAAGAAGGUUUUCGGAUCGUAAAGCUCUGUUGUAAGAGAAGAACGAGUGUGAGAGUGGAAAGCUCACACUGUGACGGUAUCUUACCAGAAAGGGACGGCUAACUACGUG